CAACACGCCCGGCCCCAAAAUAUUCCUUUAAUGAGCUGCAUGCAGUGAGGCUUAGGCAGGAGCAUCACUUGAGCCCAGGAGUUGCAGGGAGCUAGGAUUCCAUCACUGUACCCCAAGCUUAGGUGGCAGAGUGAGAUUCUGUGUCCAAAUAAAUAAAUAAAUGAUUGAAUACAUUAGUAAAUGGGGAAAAGAGACAAGCCUCACCUGCAGAAUUCCAAAUAAAUUAUUUAGAUACCUCACCCUAAAGGCAGGGUGACAUAACCUCCCACUUCCUUUUUUUUUUUUUUUUUUUUUUUUUUUUUUUGAGACGGAGUCUCACUCUGUUUUCAGGCUGGAGUGCAGUGGUGGUCUCUGUCUCUUGAGCUUAUGAUCCACCCACCUUGGCCUCCCAAAGUGCUGAGAUUACAGGCGUGAGCCACCGCGCACAGCCAACUUCCCACUUGUUAAACGUGGACUGUGCAGAGUGACUUCCUUCCAAAGAGUACAGAAUAAAAAGGACAAACAAAAGGAGUAACUUUAUAGUGGAGACACACCUUCAGCAGGAUGAUCAAGGUCGAUAUUAACACUCAUAAGCCAUGUGGAUAGCAUGUACCUUUACUGGGUCGAAUCACGUCCUCCCAAAGCUCACAUCCUCCCUGCAACCUCGGACUGUGACCUUAUUUGCAAAUAGUGAUUGCAGAUGUAAUUAGCUAAGAUGAGGUCACACUGGAGUAGAGUGGGCCCUUAAUCCAAUAUGGCUAGUAUCCUGAUUAGAAGAGGUGAAGAGAAAUGGACCCCGGAGGGGAGAACGCUACAUGAGGGAAGUGAUGCAGAGCCAGCCGCAGCAGCGAGGGAAAUCCCUGGAAGGCAGGAAGAAGCAUGGCAGGCUGCCCCCUGCGGCUUUCAGCAGCAGCAGGACCUUGCCGACACCUUGCCUUUAGACUUCCGUUCUCCAGAACUGUGAAAAAAUAAAUGCAUGGUGUUUUCAGCUGCCCAGUAUGUGGUCCUUUGUGAUGACAGCUCUAGGAAAUUAAUGCCAGAUCCUUGCUAUGAUGACGUAAUGGAAGUGGCACUUUACCUCUAGGAUCUUCCUCCCCAAAACCCACAACUCCAUUCUAAUCAUGAGAAAAACAUCGGAUACAUUUCAAUAGAAAAGCAUCCUACAAAAUACCUAUCUAGUAAUCCCUCAAAACUGUCAAAAAAAAAAAAAAAAACACCGUCAGAGCCAGUCGGGCCUGGGGGCUCACGCCUAUAAUUUCAGCACUUAAGGAGGUUGAACCAGGAGGAUUGCUUGAGCCCAGGAGUUUGAGACCAGCCUGGGCAACAGAGAGAGACCCCAUCUCUACCAAAAAUAAACAAAUAAGUUGGGCAUGGUGGCGCACAUGUGUGGUCCGAGCUACUCAGGAGACUGAGGUGGGAGGAUUGCUUGAGGCCAGGAGGUGGAGGCUGGGAUUACAGGCAUGAGCUACCACACCUGGCCAGGAGAUCCCUCUUGAUAAGAGUGGCUUUGUUUACAUGGAGGCCUUGGACAAGCCAGGUGGUUUAUACUUAGAGUCAUCAAAAUUCAUAGAACCAGGAAGAAGAAUGGUGGUUGCCAAGGGCUGGGGAAGGAAGAAAUGGGAGUUAGUGUUUCAUGGGUAGAGUUUCAGUUUUACAAGAUGAAAAGAGUUCCAGCGAUGGAUAGUGGGGAUAGUUGCGCGAUAUUGUGGAUGUAUUUAAUACC
Molecule: long non-coding RNA, 1702 nt
Filed under: Homo sapiens (human)
Lineage: Eukaryota; Metazoa; Chordata; Mammalia; Primates; Hominidae
Description: non-protein coding lnc-ZFP1-3:1
Source: RNAcentral